UGGAUAUGGCCUCCUGGACGAGUUCUUAAGACAGAUUCACCUUUCGGAGAGUUUGUUCCUUGCUGAGAGAAGUGAUUUAUCUCAAAAACCUACAUUCUCCCCAUCAUUAACAUAACCAUUUAUAUCAUAUUAAAUCUAACAUCAUCAUAUGCCAAUGGUUUCUUAAUUUAAGUUGCGUAAAUAGUAUGCCCAAAGCAUGGUACAUGGUUUGGUGCAUAUAUAUAUAUAUAU
RNAcentral lists this long non-coding RNA (231 nucleotides) under Elaeis guineensis (African oil palm). RNAcentral describes it as "long non-coding RNA (EGUI_LNC028933)". The record is from RNAcentral. Lineage: Eukaryota; Viridiplantae; Streptophyta; Magnoliopsida; Arecales; Arecaceae.